AAGUCGUAACAAGGUCUCCGUUGGUGAACCAGCGGAGGGAUCAUUACCGAGUGAGGGCCCUCUGGGUCCAACCUCCCACCCGUGUCUAUCGUACCUUGUUGCUUCGGCGGGCCCGCCUCACGGCCGCCGGGGGGCUUCUGCCCUCUGGCCCGCGCCCGCCGAAGACACCAUUGAACGCUGUCUGAAGAUUGCAGUCUGAGCGAAAAGCUAAAUUUAUUAAAACUUUCAACAACGGAUCUCUUGGUUCCGGCAUCGACGAAGAACGCAGCGAAAUGCGGUAAGUAAUGUGAAUUGCAGAAUUCCGUGAAUCAUCGAAUCUUUGAACGCACAUUGCGCCCCCUGGUAUUCCGGGGGGCAUGCCUGUCCGAGCGUCAUUGCAACCCCUUCAAGCCCGGCUUGUGUGUUGGGCGUCGUCCCCGCUGGACGCGCCCGAAAGGCAGUGGCGGCUCCGUGUCCGGUGCCCGAGCGUAUGGGCUUUAUCACCCGCUCCAGAGGCCCGGCCGGCGCUGGCCCCGCGAGCCUUGACUGAACUCCAGUUAAGGUCUCAACUAAAACUUUUCGUGGUCGACCUCGGAUCAGGUAGGGAUACCCGCUGAACUUAA
Molecule: ribosomal RNA, 602 nt
Filed under: uncultured fungus
Lineage: Eukaryota; Fungi
Description: eukaryotic LSU rRNA
Rfam family: 5.8S ribosomal RNA (bases 221-374)
Source: RNAcentral